Molecule: ribosomal RNA, 497 nt
Filed under: uncultured bacterium
Lineage: Bacteria
Description: partial 16S ribosomal RNA
Rfam family: Bacterial small subunit ribosomal RNA
Source: RNAcentral
GAUGAACGCUGGCGGCGUGCCUAAUACAUGCAAGUCGAGCGAACGGACGAGAAUCUUGCUUCUCUGAUGUUAGCGGCGGACGGGUGAGUAACACGUGGAUAACCUACCUAUAAGACUGGGGUAACUUCGGGAAACCGUAGCUAAUACCGGAUAAUAUUUUGAACCGCAUGGUUCAAAAGUGAAAGACGGUCUUGCUGUCACUUAUAGAUGGAUCCGCGCUGCAUUAGCUAGUUGGUAAGGUAACGGCUUACCAAGGCAACGAUGCAUAGCCGACCUGAGAGGGUGAUCGGCCACACUGGAACUGAGACACGGUCCAGACUCCUACGGGAGGCAGCAGUAGGGAAUCUUCCGCAAUGGGCGAAAGCCUGACGGAGCAACGCCGCGUGAGUGAUGAAGGUCUUCGGAUCGUAAAACUCUGUUAUUAGGGAAGAACAUAUGUGUAAGUAACUGUGCACAUCUUGACGGUACCUAAUCAGAAAGCCACGGCUAACUACGUG